UAAUAAGUGUUUUAUGGCACUUUUAAAUCCAUAUCCACCUUGUGUGCAAUGUCAGUCGAUCUUCUUCAUGGAGAUCGACCAAACAUCAACCUUUAUCUUCUAACUCUUUGUCUGAAAAAUAUUAUGAAUAAACAAUUCAAAAUA
This 144-nucleotide unclassified non-coding RNA is filed under the name soil metagenome. Its description in RNAcentral is "partial internal transcribed spacer 1". The record is from RNAcentral.